GUAUAAGAGACAGCAGCCGCCACGGUAAUACGUAGGUGGCAAGCGUUGUCCGGAUUUAUUGGGCGUAAAGCGAGCGCAGGCGGUCAAUUAAGUCUGAUGUGAAAGCCCCCGGCUCAACCGGGGAGGGUCAUUGGAAACUGGUUGACUUGAGUGCAGAAGAGGAGAGUGGAAUUCCAUGUGUAGCGGUGAAAUGCGUAGAUAUUCGGAGGAACACCAGUGGCGAAGGCGGCUCACUGAUCCAUUACUGACGCUGAGGUGCGAAAGCGUGGGGAGCAAACAGGAUUAGAUACCCGGGUAGUCCCUGUCUCUUAUAC
RNAcentral lists this ribosomal RNA (314 nucleotides) under uncultured bacterium. RNAcentral's name for it is "partial 16S ribosomal RNA". It matches the Rfam family "Bacterial small subunit ribosomal RNA", at positions 499 to 807 of the family's 1533-position model. The record is from RNAcentral.